AGAGAGCGAGAAGCUAGAUUGGUUGUUAAUGGCGGGAGGCUCGGUGGCGUCGUUGGGGGGAGUGAGCCCUGGCUUGGUGAGGGUCGUCCUCUUGUUGAUGGGGCUGGGAGCCUGGGACUCGCCGGACACAUAGUCAGACCCCCUCUAUAUUGGCACCUCGCCGAAGCCCUCGGCCGCUCCUCCGCCUGCUCCCCUUGCAUCUGCGACUGCUCCUCCCAGCCUCUCCUCUCCAUCCCC
This 237-nucleotide long non-coding RNA is filed under the name Phoenix dactylifera (date palm). RNAcentral's name for it is "long non-coding RNA (PDAC_LNC014912)". Lineage: Eukaryota; Viridiplantae; Streptophyta; Magnoliopsida; Arecales; Arecaceae. The record is from RNAcentral.